GAUGAACGCUGGCGGCGUGCCUAAUACAUGCAAGUCGAGCGAACAGACGAGGAGCUUGCUCCUCUGACGUUAGCGGCGGACGGGUGAGUAACACGUGGAUAACCUACCUAUAAGACUGGGAUAACUUCGGGAAACCGGAGCUAAUACCGGAUAAUAUAUUGAACCGCAUGGUUCAAUAGUGAAAGGCGGUUUUGCUGUCACUUAUAGAUGGAUCCGCGCCGCAUUAGCUAGUUGGUAAGGUAACGGCUUACCAGGGCAACGAUGCGUAGCCGACCUGAGAGGGUGAUCGGCCACACUGGAAUUGAGACACGGUCCAGACUCCUACGGGAGGCAGCAGUAGGGAAUCUUCCGCAAUGGGCGAAAGCUUGACGGAGCAACGCCGCGUGAGUGAUGAAGGUCUUCGGAUCGUAAAACUCUGUUAUUAGGGAAGAACAAAUGUGUAAGUAACUAUGCACGUCUUGACGGUACCUAAUCAGAAAGCCACGGCUAACUACGUG
This 497-nucleotide ribosomal RNA is filed under the name uncultured bacterium. RNAcentral's name for it is "partial 16S ribosomal RNA". It matches the Rfam family "Bacterial small subunit ribosomal RNA", at positions 28 to 507 of the family's 1533-position model. The record is from RNAcentral.